AACCAUUCUCACCUGCGGCUAGACCUGCGGAGGGAUCAUUAAUAAAUGUUACUUCGGUAACUUAAUUAAUCCCUAACACCUGUGCAUCUUGUCGCUCCGGCGUCAUUUUAUAAACAUCAGUGUAAUGAAUGUAAAGUAUCAUAACAAAUACAACUUUCAACAACGGAUCU
Molecule: unclassified non-coding RNA, 170 nt
Filed under: soil metagenome
Description: partial contains 5.8S ribosomal RNA, internal transcribed spacer 2, and large subunit ribosomal RNA
Source: RNAcentral